This 497-nucleotide ribosomal RNA is filed under the name uncultured bacterium. RNAcentral describes it as "partial 16S ribosomal RNA". It matches the Rfam family "Bacterial small subunit ribosomal RNA", at positions 28 to 507 of the family's 1533-position model. The record is from RNAcentral.
GAUGAACGCUGGCGGCGUGCCUAAUACAUGCAAGUCGAGCGAACAGACGAGGAGCUUGCUCCUCUGACGUUAGCAGCGGACGGGUAAGUAACACGUGGAUAACCUACCUAUAAGACUGGGAUAACUUCGGGAAACCGGAGCUAAUACCGGAUAAUAUAUUGAACCGCAUGGUUCAAUAGUGAAAGACGGUUUUGCUGUCACUUAUAGAUGGAUCCGCUCCGCAUUAGCGAGUUGGUAAGGUAACGGCUUACCAAGGAAACGAUGGGUAGCCGACCUGAGAGGGUGAAGGGCGACACUGGAACUGAGAGACGGUCCAGACUCCGACGGGAGGCAGAGGUAGGGACUCUUGCGCAAUGGGCGGAAGCCUGACGGAGCAACGCCGCGUGAGUGAUGAAGGUCUUCGGAUCGGAAAACUCUGUUAUUAGGGAAGAACAAAUGUGUAAGUAACUAUGCACGUCUUGACGGUACCGAAUCAGAAAGCCACGGCUAACUACGUG